AUAUUUGUUAAAGAAAUUCGCUGAUAGAUGGGCAUGCGUUCCAUUCCGUAGUUGGUGAGGUAACGGCUCACCAAGCCGACGAUGGAUAGGGGAACUGAGAGGUUGGUCCCCCACACUGGUACUGAGACACGGACCAGACUCCUACGGGAGGCAGCAGUGAGGAAUAUUGGUCAAUGGGCGAGAGCCUGAACCAGCCAAGUCGCGUGAAGGAAGAAGGAUCUAUGGUUCGUAAACUUCUUUUGCAGGGGAAUAAAGUGCAGGACGUGUCCUGUUUUGUAUGUACCCUGAGAAUAAGGAUCGGCUAACUCCGUGCCAGCAGCCGCGGUAAUACGGAGGAUCCGAGCGUUAUCCGGAUUUAUUGGGUUUAAAGGGUGCGUAGGUGGUUUGAUAAGUCAGCGGUGAAAGUUUGCAGCUUAACUGUAAAAAUGCCGUUGAAACUGUCGGACUUGAGUGUAAAUGAGGUAGGCGGAAUGCGUGGUGUAGCGGUGAAAUGCUUAGAUAUCACGAAGAACUCCGAUUG
RNAcentral lists this ribosomal RNA (520 nucleotides) under uncultured Bacteroidales bacterium. RNAcentral's name for it is "bacterial SSU rRNA". It matches the Rfam family "Bacterial small subunit ribosomal RNA", at positions 194 to 715 of the family's 1533-position model. The record is from RNAcentral. Lineage: Bacteria; Pseudomonadati; Bacteroidota; Bacteroidia; Bacteroidales.